GACGAACGCUGGCGGCGUGCUUAACACAUGCAAGUCGAACGGAAAGGCCCUGCUUGCAGGGUACUCGAGUGGCGAACGGGUGAGUAACACGUGGGUGAUCUGCCCUGCACUUCGGGAUAAGCCUGGGAAACUGGGUCUAAUACCGGAUAGGAGCCAUUUUUAGUGUGAUGGUUGGAAAGUUUUUUCGGUGUAGGAUGAGCUCGCGGCCUAUCAGCUUGUUGGUGGGGUAAUGGCCUACCAAGGCGGCGACGGGUAGCCGGCCUGAGAGGGUGGACGGCCACAUUGAGACUGAGAUACGGCCCAGACUCCUACGGGAGGCAGCAGUGGGGAAUAUUGCACAAUGGGCGCAAGCCUGAUGCAGCGACGCCGCGUGGGGGAUGACGGCCUUAGGGUUGUAAACUCCUUUCGCUAGGGACGAAGCUUUUCGUGACGGUACCUAGAUAAGAAGCACCGGCUAACUACGUG
Molecule: ribosomal RNA, 465 nt
Filed under: uncultured bacterium
Lineage: Bacteria
Description: partial 16S ribosomal RNA
Rfam family: Bacterial small subunit ribosomal RNA
Source: RNAcentral